This 262-nucleotide long non-coding RNA is filed under the name Prunus dulcis (almond). RNAcentral's name for it is "sRNA ncRNA". Lineage: Eukaryota; Viridiplantae; Streptophyta; Magnoliopsida; Rosales; Rosaceae. The record is from RNAcentral.
UUGUGAUCUCAACCACCCAUUACUUCCUUGGCUUUCUGAAUCCUCCAAGGUUCUCCACCCUACUAUAAAUACACAACAGCUCCCUUAUUGCCACUACAAACCAAAGAGAGUAACCUUUGAACUUUCUUCAUCUCAAAAUCUCUUUAAGCCUCUGUUUAAUAUCUCUGUGUCAAAAAAGAGUUAUGGGAGGCAACAACAGGCAGAAAACACCCUCCUCCUCCUCAUUCUUCAGCUUGUUCAAGUCGAGGAGGCCUCGCAGGGG